This 423-nucleotide ribosomal RNA is filed under the name uncultured cyanobacterium. RNAcentral's name for it is "bacterial SSU rRNA". It matches the Rfam family "Bacterial small subunit ribosomal RNA", at positions 358 to 795 of the family's 1533-position model. Lineage: Bacteria; Bacillati; Cyanobacteriota. The record is from RNAcentral.
GGAAUUUUCCGCAAUGGGCGAAAGCCUGACGGAGCAAUACCGCGUGAGGGAGGAAGGCUCUUGGGUUGUAAACCUCUUUUCUCAGGGAAUAAGCAAGUGAAGGUACCUGAGGAAUCAGCAUCGGCUAACUCCGUGCCAGCAGCCGCGGUAAUACGGAGGAUGCAAGCGUUAUCCGGAAUGAUUGGGCGUAAAGCGUCCGUAGGUGGCUGUGUGUGUCUAUUGUUAAAGAGUUUGGCUCAACCAAAUAAGGGCGGUAGAAACUACACAGCUAGAGUGCGUUCGGGGCAGAGGGAAUUCCUGGUGUAGCGGUGAAAUGCGUAGAGAUCAGGAAGAACACCGGUGGCGAAAGCGCUCUGCUAGGCCGCAACUGACACUGAGGGACGAAAGCUAGGGGAGCGAAUGGGAUUAGAUACCCCAGUAGUC